UACGGGGGGGGCAAGCGUUGUUCGGAAUUACUGGGCGUAAAGGGCGCGUAGGCGGUUCGCUAAGUUGAAUGUGAAAACUCUGGGCUUAACCCAGAGCCUGCAUUCAAUACUGGCGGGCUAGAGUUCUGGAGGGGAUAGCGGAAUUCCUGGUGUAGCGGUGAAAUGCGUAGAUAUCAGGAGGAACACCGGUGGCGAAGGCGGCUAUCUGGACAGAGUCUGACGCUGAGGCGCGAAAGCUAGGGGAGCAAACAGG
This 253-nucleotide ribosomal RNA is filed under the name uncultured bacterium. Its description in RNAcentral is "partial 16S ribosomal RNA". It matches the Rfam family "Bacterial small subunit ribosomal RNA", at positions 524 to 776 of the family's 1533-position model. The record is from RNAcentral.